This 1539-nucleotide ribosomal RNA is filed under the name Klebsiella pneumoniae. Its description in RNAcentral is "bacterial SSU rRNA". It matches the Rfam family "Bacterial small subunit ribosomal RNA". The record is from RNAcentral. Lineage: Bacteria; Pseudomonadati; Pseudomonadota; Gammaproteobacteria; Enterobacterales; Enterobacteriaceae.
AAAUUGAAGAGUUUGAUCAUGGCUCAGAUUGAACGCUGGCGGCAGGCCUAACACAUGCAAGUCGAGCGGUAGCACAGAGAGCUUGCUCUCGGGUGACGAGCGGCGGACGGGUGAGUAAUGUCUGGGAAACUGCCUGAUGGAGGGGGAUAACUACUGGAAACGGUAGCUAAUACCGCAUAAUGUCGCAAGACCAAAGUGGGGGACCUUCGGGCCUCAUGCCAUCAGAUGUGCCCAGAUGGGAUUAGCUAGUAGGUGGGGUAACGGCUCACCUAGGCGACGAUCCCUAGCUGGUCUGAGAGGAUGACCAGCCACACUGGAACUGAGACACGGUCCAGACUCCUACGGGAGGCAGCAGUGGGGAAUAUUGCACAAUGGGCGCAAGCCUGAUGCAGCCAUGCCGCGUGUGUGAAGAAGGCCUUCGGGUUGUAAAGCACUUUCAGCGGGGAGGAAGGCGUUAAGGUUAAUAACCUUGGCGAUUGACGUUACCCGCAGAAGAAGCACCGGCUAACUCCGUGCCAGCAGCCGCGGUAAUACGGAGGGUGCAAGCGUUAAUCGGAAUUACUGGGCGUAAAGCGCACGCAGGCGGUCUUGUCAAGUCGGAUGUGAAAUCCCCGGGCUCAACCUGGGAACUGCAUUCGAAACUGGCAGGCUAGAGUCUUGUAGAGGGGGGUAGAAUUCCAGGUGUAGCGGUGAAAUGCGUAGAGAUCUGGAGGAAUACCGGUGGCGAAGGCGGCCCCCUGGACAAAGACUGACGCUCAGGUGCGAAAGCGUGGGGAGCAAACAGGAUUAGAUACCCUGGUAGUCCACGCCGUAAACGAUGUCGAUUUGGAGGUUGUGCCCUUGAGGCGUGGCUUCCGGAGCUAACGCGUUAAAUCGACCGCCUGGGGAGUACGGCCGCAAGGUUAAACUCAAAUGAAUUGACGGGGGCCCGCACAAGCGGUGGAGCAUGUGGUUUAAUUCGAUGCAACGCGAAGAACCUUACCUGGUCUUGACAUCCACAGAACUUUCCAGAGAUGGAUUGGUGCCUUCGGGAACUGUGAGACAGGUGCUGCAUGGCUGUCGUCAGCUCGUGUUGUGAAAUGUUGGGUUAAGUCCCGCAACGAGCGCAACCCUUAUCCUUUGUUGCCAGCGGUUCGGCCGGGAACUCAAAGGAGACUGCCAGUGAUAAACUGGAGGAAGGUGGGGAUGACGUCAAGUCAUCAUGGCCCUUACGACCAGGGCUACACACGUGCUACAAUGGCAUAUACAAAGAGAAGCGACCUCGCGAGAGCAAGCGGACCUCAUAAGUAUGUCGUAGUCCGGAUUGGAGUCUGCAACUCGACUCCAUGAAGUCGGAAUCGCUAGUAAUCGUAGAUCAGAAUGCUACGGUGAAUACGUUCCCGGGCCUUGUACACACCGCCCGUCACACCAUGGGAGUGGGUUGCAAAAGAAGUAGGUAGCUUAACCUUCGGGAGGGCGCUUACCACUUUGUGAUUCAUGACUGGGGUGAAGUCGUAACAAGGUAACCGUAGGGGAACCUGCGGUUGGAUCACCUCCUUA